GAUAGCGGAAAUUCUACUAAGACCGCCACGUCCUGUGGGCAACGUAAAAGUCCUUUUCAUCCUCCUUUUUGAACA
RNAcentral lists this small RNA (75 nucleotides) under Bacilli bacterium VT-13-104. Its description in RNAcentral is "Bacillaceae-1 RNA". It matches the Rfam family "Bacillaceae-1 RNA". The record is from Rfam by way of RNAcentral. Lineage: Bacteria; Bacillati; Bacillota; Bacilli.